Molecule: ribosomal RNA, 1045 nt
Filed under: Oenococcus oeni
Lineage: Bacteria; Bacillati; Bacillota; Bacilli; Lactobacillales; Lactobacillaceae
Description: bacterial LSU rRNA
Rfam family: Bacterial large subunit ribosomal RNA
Source: RNAcentral
CGCCUGCCCAGUGCUGGAAGGUUAAAAGGAGGACUUAGCUUCGGCGAAGGUCUUAAUUGAAGCCCCAGUGAACGGCGGCCGUAACUAUAACGGUCCUAAGGUAGCGAAAUUCCUUGUCGGGUAAGUUCCGACCCGCAUGAAAGGCGUAAUGAUUUGGGCGCUGUCUCAACAAUAGACUCGGUGAAAUUUAAAUUCCAGUGAAGAUGCUGGGUACCCGCGACAGGACGGAAAGACCCCGUGGAGCUUUACUGUAGCUUGAUAUUGAAUGUUUGUGCUGCAUGUGCAGGAUAGGUAGGAGACUUUGAAGUCGGAACGCUAGUUUCGAUUGAGUCACCCUUGAGAUACUACCUCUGUUGUAUGAACGUUCUAACUCUGAUCAGUUAUCCUGAUCGAAGACAGUGUCUGGCAGGCAGUUUGACUGGGGCGGUCGCCUCCUAAAAGAUAACGGAGGCGCUCAAAGGUUUGCUCAGAAUGGUUGGAAAUCAUUCGUAGCGUGUAAAGGCAUAAGCAAGCUUGACUGUGAGACUGACAAGUCGAGCAGGUACGAAAGUAGGACUUAGUGAUCCGGUGGUUCCGUAUGGAAGGGCCAUCGCUCAACGGACAAAAGCUACCCCGGGGAUAACAGGCUCAUCUCCCCCAAGAGUCCACAUCGACGGGGAGGUUUGGCACCUCGAUGUCGGCUCAUCGCAUCCUGGGGCUGUAGUCGGUCCCAAGGGUUGGGCUGUUCGCCCAUUAAAGCGGUACGCGAGCUGGGUUCAGAACGUCGUGAGACAGUUCGGUCCCUAUCCGUCGUGGGCGCAGGAAAUUUGAGAGGAUCUGUCCUUAGUACGAGAGGACCGGGAUGGACAUACCUCUGGUGUACCAGUUGUUCUGCCAAGAGCACCGCUGGGUAGCUACGUAUGGAUUAGAUAAUCGCUGAAAGCAUCUAAGUGAGAAACUAACCUCGAGAUGAGAUUUCCCAUUCGUCAGAAGUAAGACCCCUGAGAGACGAUCAGGUAGAUAGGCUAGAAGUGGAAGUGUAGUGAUGCAUGGAGCGGACUAGUAC